RNAcentral lists this ribosomal RNA (20 nucleotides) under Leptospira noguchii. Its description in RNAcentral is "partial 23S ribosomal RNA". The record is from RNAcentral. Lineage: Bacteria; Pseudomonadati; Spirochaetota; Leptospiria; Leptospirales; Leptospiraceae.
GGAGAGCGUUCUUUCUUCCG